GCGAUCAUACCAGCACUAAUGCACCGGAUCCCAUCAGAACUCCGAAGUUAAGCGUGCUUGGGCGAGAGCAGUACUAGGAUGGGUUGCGAAGUCCUCGUGUUGCACCU
RNAcentral lists this ribosomal RNA (107 nucleotides) under Zingiber officinale. The record is from RNAcentral. Lineage: Eukaryota; Viridiplantae; Streptophyta; Magnoliopsida; Zingiberales; Zingiberaceae.